Long non-coding RNA from Melopsittacus undulatus (budgerigar), 390 nucleotides. RefSeq lists it as uncharacterized. The record is from RefSeq and is a predicted model, not a curated record. Lineage: Eukaryota; Metazoa; Chordata; Aves; Psittaciformes; Psittaculidae. The transcript is spliced from 3 exons.
AGAAGUACCACUGCAAGGCAAACUUGUGGGGAGAGUCUUGCUGAGGCUGACACAACUCCCAGUUUGACUGAGUUAACUGGCUAAUUGGAGAGACAUGGGAAGUUGUACAUCGAAAGAGAGUAAGAGGCUUCUGAAACAGGAGGUGGAGAAAGAGAACUCUAUUCAAAAUCCAUGAACAGGAGCUUCAGCCAGCCUCAAGCAGUCAUCUGUAAUGCAGCUAAAGCAAGAAUGCAGCUGAACUUAAAGAAAAAGCAACAUUGAGCAAGAAGAAGAACAGCGUCCGGCAGAAGAGGGGGCACAAGAAAGGCACCCUGGGCAAAGGGACCCCCUGUGGGCACAGGGGGAGGUCACGUAAGAGCAUGAUGGCACCUUUGGGGUGCCGUGAGGAAU